This is a long non-coding RNA of Homo sapiens (human), 1075 nucleotides long. NCBI's taxonomy places the organism in Eukaryota, Metazoa, Chordata, Mammalia, Primates, Hominidae. The record is from Ensembl.
CUACCUCCCUAGAGUGGGAUCCGCCUCUGUUCAUGCUUCAGAAAGCAGUGAGAAAGGCCUUCUCUCUCCAGGGUUGGACAGCCCCAGGAAGGCUAGCUAACCCAGCGCUGAGGGCUUCAUCUGGAGAGUGAAGGCAAUGAACAUGUAGAGACUGAUGGCAGCCCAGCCUUGAGCAUCCACUCAACUCUGCACGCCACGGAAGAGAAGGCAGGCCAGGCCAGAUGAAGGCUAGGUGCUGGCUGGGGCCUCUGCAGGGGCCAAUGUGCUGGAGCCCUGGAGGCUGAGUGCCUGCUCCAGGCUGAGCCACCGCUGUGGGAACACAUGAAUGGAAGCACGCAUGGCAAACGCUGUGGAGGGAUCAGGAAGGCAUGGAAAGAAGCAUAUUCUGCAUCUUUCAUCCUUUCUUCCCUGGACACAUCUGUUCAGGCCAUGCAUAUCCCUAGUACCAAGCCAGCACUUGACCCAGAAGCACACACCCAUUGGAUGAAUGGAAUCACUCAGGCACAGGAUUCACUGACCCCUGCUAGCACUGGGCAUGAUGAACAAGACUGACCUGUUCUUCCAGACCUGCUGUCUGGCCCCAAGGAUGAUGGUCAAGGAAAGCCACUGAUGCUGCCAUCCUGGGCCAAAGUACCAGUAGCCGGGUCUCAGGCUCCUUGUGGCAGGGCUUAGAUGGUGGAUGCCUUCCCUCAAACCAGGAGCUUGCGGCCCGAUCCAGCCUUGGAUCAGGGAGCUGUGCUGAUGCUGCACUGAGCCCUGGAGAGCUAGAAUUUCAGAGCUGGGAGAAGCCCUGGAAACCAAGGCGUUUACCUUCUCAUUCUGGGGCUGGCAUCUCUGCCCAAGACCGGGAGCCUCUUGAUCUUUGCAUCUUUGUACCCACCUCUGCCAUCUUGUGCACUUCCCCAGGAAGUAAGCAUUUAAACCUGGACCCCCACCAGAUGGAAAAUGCCCAUUGCAGUCAAGUAGACCUCAGAAGAGUGGUAACUAAGGACAGAACACUGAUCGCCGGUCUUUCUUCUCAAUUUCUUCCUGAGGGGCCUGGAGAGACUCAUACCUACAGGCCAGACCUUAACAU